Molecule: ribosomal RNA, 433 nt
Filed under: uncultured bacterium
Lineage: Bacteria
Description: partial 16S ribosomal RNA
Rfam family: Bacterial small subunit ribosomal RNA
Source: RNAcentral
AACGAACGCUGGCGGCAUGCCUAACACAUGCAAGUCGAACGAGACCUUCGGGCCUAGUGGCGCACGGGUGCGUAACGCGUGGGAACCUGCCCGUAGGUUCGGAAUAACUCCCCGAAAGGGGUGCUAAUACCGGAUAAUGUCUUCGGACCAAAGAUCUAUCGCCUUUGGAUGGGCCCGCGUUGGAUUAGCUAGUUGGUAGGGUAAAAGCCUGCCAAGGCGACGAUCCAUAGCUGGUCUGAGAGGAUGACCAGCCACACUGGGACUGAGACACGGCCCAGACUGCGACGGGAGGCAGCAGUGGGGAAUAUUGGACAAUGGGCGAAAGCCUGAUCCAGCAAUGCCGGGUGAGUGAUGAAGGCGUUAGGGUUGUAAAGCUCUUUUACACGGGAUGAUAAUGACAGUACCGGGAGAAUAAGCUCCGGCUAACUCCGUG